GAGAGACUGGACUCAUGGACCCCAGGGGCCUCCCGUGGACGGCGGGGAGCCCACGCAGCACACGGAUCAGCCUGCGCUCUGCCAUCCCUGACAGCCCCAGUAGGAUCACAGGGUGAGACAGCAGCUCCUGCCCAGCAGCCCUGACCCAGAACAAUGGCAGGUCUGGUUCAACAUCUCAAAGCUGUGCUGUGGUUCAUUUUGAAAUCAGACAUCCUCCAAU
This 220-nucleotide long non-coding RNA is filed under the name Homo sapiens (human). Its description in RNAcentral is "non-protein coding lnc-RPLP1-5:1". The record is from RNAcentral. Lineage: Eukaryota; Metazoa; Chordata; Mammalia; Primates; Hominidae.